AAUGAACGUUGGCGGCGUGGAUUAGGCAUGCAAGUCGAGCGCUCAUCAGCAAUGGUGGGAGCGGCGAACGGCGUAGUAAUGCAUCGGAACGUACCCUCUGGACGGGGAUAGCCACGGGAAACUGUGGGUAAUACCCGAUAAUCUCUGCGGAGCAAAGGUGUGAUUCCGCCGGAGGAGCGGCUGAUGUGAUAUUAGCUAGUUGGUGGGGUAAAGGCCUACCAAGGCGAUGAUGUCUAGGGGGUGUGAGAGCAUGGCCCCCACGACCGGAACUGAGAUACUGUCCGGACACCCACGGGUGGCUGCAGUCGAGAAUCUUCCGCAAUGGACGAAAAGUCUGACGGAGCGACGCCGCGUGCGGGAUGAAGGCCCUUGGGUUGUAAACCGCUGUCAGAGGGGAUGAAAUCGUCGGGGGUACUCCCCCGAUGUUGACAGAGCCUCAAAGGAAGCACGGGCUAAGUACGUG
RNAcentral lists this ribosomal RNA (463 nucleotides) under uncultured bacterium. RNAcentral describes it as "bacterial SSU rRNA". It matches the Rfam family "Bacterial small subunit ribosomal RNA", at positions 29 to 507 of the family's 1533-position model. The record is from RNAcentral.